Long non-coding RNA from Piliocolobus tephrosceles (Ugandan red Colobus), 686 nucleotides. RefSeq lists it as uncharacterized. The transcript has 2 exons. NCBI's taxonomy places the organism in Eukaryota, Metazoa, Chordata, Mammalia, Primates, Cercopithecidae. The record is from RefSeq and is a predicted model, not a curated record.
CCGCUUGCCUCGCCCAGCGCAGCCCCGGCCGCUGGGCGCACCCGUCCCGUUCGUCCCCGGACGUUGCUCUCUACCCCGGGAACGUCGAGACUGGAGCGCCCGAACUGAGCCACCUUCGCGGACCCCGAGCGCGGCGGCGCGACUCACCGCGGAGGCGCCCGGACGCGUCAAGUGUCCGAUGGAUCUGAUGGAAAGGUGGCAAGCGAAAUGCACCUGGCCUCAGCAUCAAGGGCCGUGAAUGCAGUGGCAGUCGUAGCUAUGUGGUCGGAGUGGACUAGGAUGGUCCUGCCACCAAGAAGGCUGGGCCUUCCUGCUCCUCAUUGUCCAGCUGCAGAAAGUGAUUGGGCUUGACACAACUGCCCCUUCCUCCACACAUUCCCAAAUACACCUACCCCUCCCCAACCCAAUCCUCCUCACCAGACUGUGGCUCCUGGAUGACAGGGCAGAGUUGGGCUCACCUGUGUCUGCCAGGCCAGCUCACCAUGGGGACAGGUCCCAAGAGGCCUCUGGAUUUGGACCAACUUCAGUGUGACCUUGAACAAGCCCUUAGCCUCCCUCAGCCUCCGUUGCAUGAGGCGUUGUGUUGGUACGUCUCAGAGCAGUUGGCACUACCUGGUGAGCCUGUCCAUCGUCUUUGUCACUGUAAUGCUGGUUAUCAAAUAAACGCGAAACAAUGAGUGGUCAUU